UGUGUUUAAAGUAUUCAUAGAUAUUUAUAAGUGUUGCGCUGGUAAGUUUACAGUUAAAAACAGUUGCCUUCCCACCCAAUGGGACUAGUUCCUCUCAGUUAACGAAAGCCGUAGAAGCUGUAAAGCGCUGGGUUGAUAACGCACGGAAAUACCAACUGACGAGCGUGUUCCUCCGAGGUGUGGUCUAAGAAGUAUCUGUUCAUCUGUGUACAUUCGGUUGAUAUAGCUUCCGCGUAGCUGAUGUGGUUCGUUUAGAGGAUGGUGAAAGGAUCAACAGACUUCCUAGGCGAGCGCAACAGCGCACGGUUCCCCAGCUGCUGCUCACGUCAACAAAUUCUUCAUGCUUUGCGCAACCGCCACAAAGGCCCGUGUAUACUCUCCGUGAUCAAGCUUCUCUACGGGAAGACAGCAGCUCCUUCGACAGUCCUGCCGGCGAUGGCGGCUCCUAUUGAGUGUGAAGAUAGGCUGAGUGAAAGAUUGUGGCCGGACGUGUGGGACAGCAGCUUCAGCUUUUGCGUUUUAUGGCUAUGACCCAUCUCUCCCUCCGCCUCUACUGGGCUGAUCGUGGCAAAUGUGGGCGAUUCGCGGGGCUGAAGGAGAAGAAACUGGUCAUUGCUGAUCCGGACGUGCUGUCGUUUUAUUUGGUAGAUCACAGGCCACAAUUUCUUAUCUUAGCCUCCGAUGGACUGUGGGUUACGUUCCCGGCUUUUUCCCGGCUUUCUUCAAGCGUAAAGCGACCCAUUUCGUAAAUGAGGAAGUGUUUACUAAAUGUCUACAUUUUUUAG
This is a long non-coding RNA of Anopheles cruzii, 785 nucleotides long. RefSeq lists it as uncharacterized. NCBI's taxonomy places the organism in Eukaryota, Metazoa, Arthropoda, Insecta, Diptera, Culicidae. The record is from RefSeq and is a predicted model, not a curated record. The transcript has 4 exons.